GAUGAACGCUGGCGGCGUGCCUAAUACAUGCAAGUCGAGCGAACAGACGAGGAGCUUGCUCCUCUGACGUUAGCGGCGGACGGGUGAGUAACACGUGGAUAACCUACCUAUAAGACUGGGAUAACUUCGGGAAACCGGAGCUAAUACCGGAUGAUAUAUUGAACCGCAUGGUUCAAUAGUGAAAGACGGUUUUGCUGUCACUUAUAGAUGGAUCCGCGCCGCAUUAGCUAGUUGGUAAGGUAACGGCUUACCAAGGCAACGAUGCGUAGCCGACCUGAGAGGGUGAUCGGCCACCCUGGAACUGAGACACGGUCCAGACUCCUACGGGAGGCAGCAGUAGGGAAUCUUCCGCAAUGGGCGAAGGCCUGACGGAGCAACGCCGCGUGAGUGAUGAAGGUCUUCGGAUCGUAAAACUCUGUUAUUAGGGAAGAACAAAUGUGUAAGUAACUAUGCACGUCUUGACGGUACCUAAUCAGAAAGCCACGGCUAACUACGUG
Molecule: ribosomal RNA, 497 nt
Filed under: uncultured bacterium
Lineage: Bacteria
Description: partial 16S ribosomal RNA
Rfam family: Bacterial small subunit ribosomal RNA
Source: RNAcentral